This 272-nucleotide ribosomal RNA is filed under the name uncultured Ascomycota. Its description in RNAcentral is "partial 18S ribosomal RNA". It matches the Rfam family "Eukaryotic small subunit ribosomal RNA", at positions 548 to 827 of the family's 1831-position model. Lineage: Eukaryota; Fungi; Ascomycota. The record is from RNAcentral.
UUGGAGGGCAAGUCUGGUGUCAGCAGCCGCGGUAAUUCCAGCUCCAAUAGCGUAUAUUAAAGUUGUUGUGGUUAAAAAGCUCGUAGUUGAACCUUGGGCCUGGCUGGCCGGUCCGCCUCACCGCGUGCACUGGUCCGGCCGGGCCUUUCCCUCUGCGGAACCCCAUGCCCUUCACUGGGUGUGGCGGGGAAACAGGACUUUUACUUGAAAAAAUUAGAGUGCUCAAGGCAGGCCUAUGCUCGAAUACAUUAGCAUGGAAUAAUAGAAUAGGA